RNAcentral lists this ribosomal RNA (471 nucleotides) under uncultured bacterium. Its description in RNAcentral is "bacterial SSU rRNA". It matches the Rfam family "Bacterial small subunit ribosomal RNA", at positions 388 to 849 of the family's 1533-position model. The record is from RNAcentral.
UCAGCCUGCCGCGUGCAGUGAUAGAAGGCCUUCGGGUUGUAAAGCUCUUUCGGCGGGGAAGAAAUGGCAACGGCUAAUAUCCGUUGUUGAUGACGGUACCCGCAUAAGAAGCACCGGCUAACUACGUGCCAGCAGCCGCGGUAAUACGUAGGGUGCGAGCGUUAAUCGGAAUUACUGGGCGUAAAGCGUGCGCAGGCGGUUUCGUAAGACAGACGUGAAAUCCCCGGGCUCAACCUGGGAACUGCGUUUGUGACUGCGAGGCUAGAGUACGGCAGAGGGGGGUAGAAUUCCACGUGUAGCAGUGAAAUGCGUAGAGAUGUGGAGGAAUACCGAUGGCGAAGGCAGCCCCCUGGGUUAGUACUGACGCUCAUGCACGAAAGCGUGGGGAGCAAACAGGAUUAGAUACCCUGGUAGUCCACGCCCUAAACGAUGUCAACUAGGUGUUGGAAGGGUUAAACCUUUUAAUACCGC